Molecule: ribosomal RNA, 2281 nt
Filed under: Salmonella enterica
Lineage: Bacteria; Pseudomonadati; Pseudomonadota; Gammaproteobacteria; Enterobacterales; Enterobacteriaceae
Also listed under: 1 other name
Description: partial 23S ribosomal RNA
Rfam family: Bacterial large subunit ribosomal RNA
Source: RNAcentral
AUACGCAUCCUUUGCUGAGGAGACGGUUAACGGAGCGAAAGCGACGUUCAACCUCAAAAGAAGCAGAGGGGGCUUAGUGGUGGGGUGACUGCGUACCUUUUGUAUAAUGGGUCAGCGACUUAUAUUCUGUAGCAAGGUUAACUGUAUAGGGGAGCCGGAGGGAAACCGAGUCUUAACCGGGCGUUAAGUUGCAGGGUAUAGACCCGAAACCCGGUGAUCUAGCCAUGGGCAGGUUGAAGGUUGGGUAACACUAACUGGAGGACCGAACCGACUAAUGUUGAAAAAUUAGCGGAUGACCUGUGGCUGGGGGUGAAAGGCCAAUCAAACCGGGAGAUAGCUGGUUCUCCCCGAAAGCUAUUUAGGUAGCGCCUCGUGAAUUCAUCUCCGGGGGUAGAGCACUGUUUCGGCUAGGGGGCCAUCCCGGCUUACCAACCCGAUGCAAACUGCGAAUACCGGAGAAUGUUAUCACGGGAGACACACGGCGGGUGCUAAUGUCCGUCGUGAAGAGGGAAACAACCCAGACCGCCAGCUAAGGUCCCAAAGUCAUGGUUAAGUGGGAAACGAUGUGGGAAGGCCCAGACAGCCAGGAUGUUGGCUUAGAAGCAGCCAUCAUUUAAAGAAAGCGUAAUAGCUCACUGGUCGAGUCGGCCUGCGCGGAAGAUGUAACGGGGCUAAACCAUGCACCGAAGCUGCGGCAGCGACACCGUGUGUUGUUGGGUAGGGGAGCGUUCUGUAAGCCUGUGAAGGUGUGCUGUGAGGCAUGCUGGAGGUAUCAGAAGUGCGAAUGCUGACAUAAGUAACGAUAAAGCGGGUGAAAAGCCCGCUCGCCGGAAGACCAAGGGUUCCUGUCCAACGUUAAUCGGGGCAGGGUGAGUCGACCCCUAAGGCGAGGCCGAAAGGCGUAGUCGAUGGGAAACGGGUUAAUAUUCCCGUACUUGGUGUUACUGCGAAGGGGGGACGGAGAAGGCUAUGUUGGCCGGGCGACGGUUGUCCCGGUUUAAGCGUGUAGGUAUGUGUUCCAGGUAAAUCCGGUUCACUUUAACACUGAGGCGUGACGACGAGGCACUACGGUGCUGAAGCAACAAAUGCCCUGCUUCCAGGAAAAGCCUCUAAGCAUCAGGUAACAUCAAAUCGUACCCCAAACCGACACAGGUGGUCAGGUAGAGAAUACCAAGGCGCUUGAGAGAACUCGGGUGAAGGAACUAGGCAAAAUGGUGCCGUAACUUCGGGAGAAGGCACGCUGACACGUAGGUGAAGUGAUUUACUCACGGAGCUGAAGUCAGCCGAAGAUACCAGCUGGCUGCAACUGUUUAUUAAAAACACAGCACUGUGCAAACACGAAAGUGGACGUAUACGGUGUGACGCCUGCCCGGUGCCGGAAGGUUAAUUGAUGGGGUCAGCGCAAGCGAAGCUCCUGAUCGAAGCCCCGGUAAACGGCGGCCGUAACUAUAACGGUCCUAAGGUAGCGAAAUUCCUUGUCGGGUAAGUUCCGACCUGCACGAAUGGCGUAAUGAUGGCCAGGCUGUCUCCACCCGAGACUCAGUGAAAUUGAACUCGCUGUGAAGAUGCAGUGUACCCGCGGCAAGACGGAAAGACCCCGUGAACCUUUACUAUAGCUUGACACUGAACAUUGAGCCUUGAUGUGUAGGAUAGGUGGGAGGCUUUGAAGUGUGGACGCCAGUCUGCAUGGAGCCGACCUUGAAAUACCACCCUUUAAUGUUUGAUGUUCUAACGUGGACCCGUGAUCCGGGUUGCGGACAGUGUCUGGUGGGUAGUUUGACUGGGGCGGUCUCCUCCUAAAGAGUAACGGAGGAGCACGAAGGUUGGCUAAUCCUGGUCGGACAUCAGGAGGUUAGUGCAAUGGCAUAAGCCAGCUUGACUGCGAGCGUGACGGCGCGAGCAGGUGCGAAAGCAGGUCAUAGUGAUCCGGUGGUUCUGAAUGGAAGGGCCAUCGCUCAACGGAUAAAAGGUACUCCGGGGAUAACAGGCUGAUACCGCCCAAGAGUUCAUAUCGACGGCGGUGUUUGGCACCUCGAUGUCGGCUCAUCACAUCCUGGGGCUGAAGUAGGUCCCAAGGGUAUGGCUGUUCGCCAUUUAAAGUGGUACGCGAGCUGGGUUUAGAACGUCGUGAGACAGUUCGGUCCCUAUCUGCCGUGGGCGCUGGAGAACUGAGGGGGGCUGCUCCUAGUACGAGAGGACCGGAGUGGACGCAUCACUGGUGUUCGGGUUGUCAUGCCAAUGGCACUGCCCGGUAGCUAAAUGCGGAAGAGAUAAGUGCUGA